CCCAGGUCAGGCGGGGCUACCCGCUGAAUUUAAGCAUAUCAAUAAGCGGAGGAAA
Molecule: ribosomal RNA, 55 nt
Filed under: Silene uralensis
Lineage: Eukaryota; Viridiplantae; Streptophyta; Magnoliopsida; Caryophyllales; Caryophyllaceae
Description: partial 28S ribosomal RNA
Source: RNAcentral